CCCUUAGAUGUUCUGGGCCGCACGCGCGCUACACUGAUGCAUUCAACGAGUCUAAAACCUGCUCUGAUAGGGGUGGGUAAUCUUUUGAAUGUGCAUCGUGAUUGGGAUAGAUGAUUGCAAUUUUUCAUCUUCAACGAGGAAUGCCUAGUAAACGCAAGUCAUCAGCUUGCAUUGAUUACGUCCCUGCCCUUUGUACACACCGCCCGUCGCUCCUACCGAUUGAAUGAUCCGAUGAAUAUCAUAGACUGAGAGUAUAAGCAGGUUCGCCUGUCUUUGCUUCUCGGGAAGUGAAGGAAAUCUUAUCAUUUAGAGGAAGGAGAAGUCGUAACA
Molecule: ribosomal RNA, 330 nt
Filed under: uncultured eukaryote
Lineage: Eukaryota
Description: partial 18S ribosomal RNA
Rfam family: Eukaryotic small subunit ribosomal RNA
Source: RNAcentral